RNAcentral lists this long non-coding RNA (671 nucleotides) under Volvox carteri. RNAcentral's name for it is "long non-coding RNA (VCAR_LNC001100)". Lineage: Eukaryota; Viridiplantae; Chlorophyta; Chlorophyceae; Chlamydomonadales; Volvocaceae. The record is from RNAcentral.
AAAAAUGGAGUGCGCUAACGGCUGUGAAAUGCAAGGCUGUAAGGCCCGAAACAUCAUCCAGGCUUCUUCCUGUUACUGCGGACAUGGGGAAGGGAGGAGUCGGUGGCGGCUCUGUGAACUCCUCACUUCGAAGGCGCUCUGCUCCGCGAUGAAGGAAGGUCUUUGGGGGCUGUAACGUGUUUGAAUGCUAUCGGCCGCUGUGCGAGAUUCGUGUGGGCCAGGGCAGCCGAGUGCGACUUAUUAAACGUCUUUCAUGGUUAUGUGGCACAGCUGCCGCGCCCGUUCUGGAAGUGCAGUUGGCAAUGGGUCCGCCCGCCCUUGGCCGGAUUGGGCAGACAGAACAUGGCUGCGGUGAUGGUCUCGGUGACAGCCUAUGAGGCGAGGGGCAGGCGAGUAGCUGCAGCAGCCGACUGUCGUUACUGAGUGCUGGCAGUAUUAUAAGCCCGACCAUGUAUGUUAGCUGUCGGACGGUUUUUAAAAUAUUUUUGUAAGUUUAGGGCGCAUAGCUCAAGGUCUCUAACCUGCCUCGCCGCCAAUGACCCUUAGGAUGCUUCCGGAUGCUCCCCGCCUCCAUCGCCGAGAUCCUUUGCUGCGCACUCUCACCGAGCCGUGUGAACUGCUGGCUAAUGCCGUCCAUUCCAACAACAACGACAACAUAUGGCACAACAAGG